RNAcentral lists this ribosomal RNA (496 nucleotides) under uncultured bacterium. RNAcentral describes it as "partial 16S ribosomal RNA". It matches the Rfam family "Bacterial small subunit ribosomal RNA", at positions 28 to 506 of the family's 1533-position model. The record is from RNAcentral.
GAUGAACGCUGGCGGCGUGCCUAAUACAUGCAAGUCGAGCGAACAGACGAGGAGCUUGCUCCUCUGACGUUAGCGGCGGACGGGUGAGUAACACGUGGAUAACCUACCUAUAAGACUGGGAUAACUUCGGGAAACCGGAGCUAAUACCGGAUAAUAUAUUGAACCGCAUGGUUCAAUAGUGAAAGACGGUUUUGCUGUCACUUAUAGAUGGAUCCGCGCCGCAUUAGCUAGUUGGUAAGGUAACGGCUUACCAAGGCAACGAUGCGUAGCCGACCUGAGAGGUUGAUCGGCCACACUGGAACUGAGACACGUGCCAAACUCCUACGGGAGGCAGCAGGAGGAAAUCUUCCGCAAUGGGCGAAACCCUGACGGAGCAACCCCGGGUGAGUGAUGAAGGUUUUCGGAUCGUAAAACUUUUUUUUUAGGGAAGAAAAAAUGUAUAAGUAAUUAUGCCAUUUUUGACGGUACCUAAUCAGAAAGCCACGGCUAACUACGU